Molecule: ribosomal RNA, 205 nt
Filed under: uncultured bacterium
Lineage: Bacteria
Description: partial 16S ribosomal RNA
Rfam family: Bacterial small subunit ribosomal RNA
Source: RNAcentral
AACGCAGGUGGUUGUAUAAGUCUGAAGUAAAAGGCAGUGGCUCAACCAUUGUGUGCUUUGGAAACUGUACAACUUGAGUGCAGAAGGGGAGAGUGGAAUUCCAUGUGUAGCGGUGAAAUGCGUAGAUAUAUGGAGGAACACCGGUGGCGAAAGCGGCUCUCUGGUCUGUAACUGACACUGAGGCUCGAAAGCGUGGGAGCAAACA